RNAcentral lists this ribosomal RNA (408 nucleotides) under Triticum aestivum (bread wheat). RNAcentral's name for it is "partial small subunit ribosomal RNA". The record is from RNAcentral. Lineage: Eukaryota; Viridiplantae; Streptophyta; Magnoliopsida; Poales; Poaceae.
AUGGCUAGAGCUUCAAACCCAUCAUAUACAUGGGACUCGGUAUGGAACUUAGUUUGCCCAGCAAAGAUAAAAAUAUGUAUGUGGCGCACGCUCCAGAGUGCUAUUCGCUAUCGAUCUAUCUUGGCUAAUAAGCACUUGAAAAUAAAUCUGAAUUGCCCACCCUGAAACCAGGGGCCUGAUGAGAUAAGACAUAUUUUGUUCGAAUGCAAAUUGGCAAUGGACGUGUGGAAGAUGCUCGGUCUUGAGCUUGUUAUCAAACAUGCACUGAAAGUUGACAAAAUAGGUGAGCUUGUGUUGGCACAUCUUUUGUGCCUUCGAGAACAACAAAUCCAAGUGUUGGGCUUGCUGAAGUUCAGAGAAACGAUGGCAACGACGACUUGGUAUUUGUGGUAUGAAGGCGAAAACUGA